RNAcentral lists this unclassified non-coding RNA (232 nucleotides) under rhizosphere metagenome. RNAcentral describes it as "partial ribosomal RNA internal transcribed spacer region". The record is from RNAcentral.
GUAGGUGAACCUGCGGAAGGAUCAUUAUUGAAUCCUCAGGAUGUUGCUGGCCUUUCGGGGCAUGUGCACUCCGCCUUUCAAUACACCUGUGAACUUAUUGUAGGUGCAGAUGUAACAAGUCUGCUGCCUAUGUUUUUAAUACACUCUUAAAAAAGUAUAUUGAAUGUCUAAAUGUGGCCUUUGAUGGUCAACAAACUUAAUACAACUUUCAACAAUGGAUCUCUUGGUUCUC